UAUAUAUAUACCAGGUCGACGGCGUGCCUAUUGAAGAAUGAACCGGCGAGUUAUGAGGUCCAGCAAGGUUAAGCAGGAAAUGCGGAGCCGAAGCGAAAGCGAGUCUUAAUAGGGCAAUAAGUUGGAUUGCAUAGACCCGAAACCACAGUGAUCUACCCAUGUCCAGGCUGAAACACAGGUAAAAAUGUGCGGAGGGCCGAACCUAUAUCCGUUGAAAAGGGUUAGGAUGAGGUGUGGGUAGGGGUGAAAUUCCAAUCGAACGUGGAGAUAGCUGGUUCUCCCCGAAAUAGCUUUAGGGCUAGCCUCGAGGAGAGAUUGCAGGCGGUAGAGCACUGAUCAGGAGAGGGACCUACCCGGUUACCAAACCCAGUCAAACUGCGAAUGGCUGCAAUUAUACUCGGGAGUCAGACUACGACUUAUAAGGGCCGUGGUCAAAAGGGAAACAGCCCAGAUCAUCAGCUAAGGUCCCAAAUGCCGUGCUAAGUGGCGAAGGAUGUGGCGUUUCAUAAACAACCAGGAUGUUGGCUCAGAAGCAGCCACCAUUUAAAGAGUGCGUAAUAGCUCACUGGUCGAGAGACGCUGCGCCGAAAAUGUCCGGGGCUCAAGCACGGAACCGAAGCUAUGGCAUGACAGCGAUGUCAUGGGUAGGGGAGCGUUCUUAUAAGGAAGAAGCAUUACCGUAAGGAGAUGUGGACAUAUAAGAAGUGAGAAUGCCGGUAUGAGUAUCGAAAAGAAAGGUGAGAAUCCUUUCCACCGAAAGCCCGAGGGUUCCUGAGCAACGAUCGUCGACUCAGGGUAAGUCGGGACCUAAGCCGAGGCGGAGACGCAUAGGCGAUGGACAACAGGUUGAAAUUCCUGUACCGGAUGGAGUCAUUUGAGCGAAGGAGCGACGCAGGAGGGCACAUGAUCGCGCGGCUGGAAGAGCGCGUCCAAGUGCGUAUGCGUAGAGGGAGGCAAAUCCCCCUUUACAGAAGCAGAGACAUGAUGGGGAGUUAAAGGAGACUUUGACGAACUCAUGGAUCCCACACUGCCAAGAAAAACUUCUAGCGAGACGAAAUCCGCCCGUACCGUAAACCGACACAGGUAGGCGGGGAGAGAAUCCUAAGGUGCGCGGGAAAACCCUCGUUAAGGAACUCGGCAAAUUGCAUCCGUAACUUCGGGAGAAGGAUGACCCUGAGUAGGCGAAAGGGAGAAACCCCCGGAACAGAAAAGGGUGGCAGAAAAGAGGCCCAAGCAACUUUUUACCAAAAACACAGGUGCCUGCGAAAGCGAAAGCUGAAGUAUAGGUGCUGACGCCUGCCCGGUGCUGGAAGGUUAAGGAGAGAGGUCAGCGAAAGCGAAGCUUUGAACUGAAGCCCCAGUGAACGGCGGCCGUAACAAUAACGGUCCUAAGGUAGCGAAAUUCCUUGUCGGGUAAGUUCCGACCCGCAUGAAAGGCGUAAUGAUUUGGGCACUGUCUCAACGAGGGGCCCGGUGAAAUUGAAAUACCUGUGAAGAUGCAGGUUACCCGCGACUGGACAGAAAGACCCCUUGGAGCUUCACUGCAGCUUGAGAUUGAAUCCCGGUGACAUG
This 1572-nucleotide ribosomal RNA is filed under the name metagenome. RNAcentral describes it as "bacterial LSU rRNA". It matches the Rfam family "Bacterial large subunit ribosomal RNA", at positions 583 to 2134 of the family's 2925-position model. The record is from RNAcentral.